AAAGAAUAUCUGCUUCUGGGGGAUGGAUUGCCAUUUUGAAAAAGGAAUGAGAAAUCAGUCACAAAUUUCAUCUCACUGGAGGCAGUUAAGGAAAACUAAGCAUUUGGAGAGCAUGUGCAUUCUUUCAAGGUUUCCCUCAACUGACCAUGCACAUUUUCUUAAAAGGGGAAAACACGAUCAGUACAGCUUGCAGAUAUAA
Molecule: long non-coding RNA, 199 nt
Filed under: Anser brachyrhynchus (Pink-footed goose)
Lineage: Eukaryota; Metazoa; Chordata; Aves; Anseriformes; Anatidae
Description: lncRNA (ENSABRG00000001065.1)
Source: RNAcentral